This is a non-coding RNA of Pseudomonas cichorii JBC1, 287 nucleotides long. The record is from Rfam. Lineage: Bacteria; Pseudomonadati; Pseudomonadota; Gammaproteobacteria; Pseudomonadales; Pseudomonadaceae.
CUUCUUCGAUCUGCUGCGGGCAGAUGAAGUGAAUGUGCGUAUCGACGCCGCCAGCGGUCAGGAUCAUGCCUUCACCGGCGAUUACCUCGGUCGCCGCGCCCACGGCGAUGGUCACGUCCGGCUGGAUAUCCGGGUUGCCCGCCUUGCCGAUGGCCGCGAUACGCCCGUCCUUGAUCCCGACGUCCGCCUUGACGAUCCCCCAGUGAUCGAUGAUCAGGGCAUUGGUGAUCAGCGUGUCCACGACCUCGGCGGCCAGCAACUGGCCCUGGCCCAUACCGUCACGGAUG